UGCAGUGUCACCUAAUAGCUAAGGUACUCGGCUCAUAACCGAGGAGAUGUGGGUGCAAUUCCCACCACUGCAACCA
This 76-nucleotide transfer RNA is filed under the name Candidatus Altimarinota bacterium. Its description in RNAcentral is "tRNA-Ile". It matches the Rfam family "tRNA". From Rfam's summary of the family: Transfer RNA (tRNA) molecules are approximately 80 nucleotides in length. Their secondary structure includes four short double-helical elements and three loops (D, anti-codon, and T loops). RNAcentral also lists the same sequence under 4 other names. The record is from RNAcentral. Lineage: Bacteria; Candidatus Altimarinota.